CUGUGACUUCCCAGGUCAGGCGGGACUACCCGCUGAGUUUAAGCAUAUCAAUAAGCGGAGGA
This 62-nucleotide ribosomal RNA is filed under the name Dystaenia takeshimana. RNAcentral's name for it is "Dystaenia takesimana partial 26S ribosomal RNA". The record is from RNAcentral. Lineage: Eukaryota; Viridiplantae; Streptophyta; Magnoliopsida; Apiales; Apiaceae.